RNAcentral lists this unclassified non-coding RNA (3834 nucleotides) under Actinia tenebrosa (Australian red waratah sea anemone). RNAcentral describes it as "coiled-coil domain-containing protein 57-like, transcript variant X1". The record is from RNAcentral. Lineage: Eukaryota; Metazoa; Cnidaria; Anthozoa; Actiniaria; Actiniidae.
UUUAUGAAAAAAUGACAACAUUGAAGCUUUGUCCAAAACACUCCUUAAGAAUGCAUCUAAAACCCACCAUGGAGAUUUGUCCAGCCAUUUCUUACCCAAAUAAGCGACACGAGUAACUAAGUGAGCCAGAAUAGGUGUAUAAAUAGACGUAUAAGAUGGCGAAAUCUAGUAAUAUUGACUCGAACUUGAGUUUAGUUGAACUCGUUCAACAAAAAGAAAAAGAGUGGCGAGAAGCUCAAGAUUUAAGAGUAAAGUCUUUAGAAGUAUCACUAAAAGAACAGGAAAAAUUACUGAAUAAUGAGAGACUUCGCUUUAAGAAGCUUAGAGAAGACUUUGAGUAUAAUCUUCAGUUGUUAUCUGAACGGGACCAGGAGCUGGAAAGAUAUGACCAGAUAUUUGCUAAAUACAAGAAUAUUGAGAGUGAACGAGACGGGGAAAUUAGUGAAUUGAAGAUCAAGAUGGAUGAUUUGAGGUCAAAGCUUCUUCAAGAGGAAAAUGCACGAGAAGAACUACAGAAGUAUUAUCAAAAACGUCUGCGAGAACACCAACAAGAGAUGCAACAAUUUGUUAUUGCUAAAGAAUCUGAGGUGAAAAAAGAAAGAGACAACCUUGAAAGGUUCAAGAGAGAGUUACAACAUCAAAUAAGAACAGUAGAAGAGGAUAUGGAAAGCCAGCGUCACUUGUUAAUGUCAGGGUACGAUGAUGAACUGCACAAGAGACAGCAUGAAUAUCGCAUUAAGUUGGAUGAGAUGAGUAACAGACUGCUAGAAAAAGACUUGAAGGUAAAAAUGCUAACAAAAGAAGUAGAAAUACUGCGGUCUUAUGAGGAACGAACCAAAACAGAACUACAGACAACUGAAACAAGCGUACAAGAACUGGAAAAGAAACUGAAAUUGAAAGAAUGGGAAUUAAUGGAUAAAGAAAAUAUGAAUGCUGCUAAAUUAUCAGAUACAGAAUCAAAAAUGGAGCAAAUGCAAGCUUCAAUGAAAAAGUCGCAGGCUAUCUUUGAACACAAACAAGCAGAAUUAGACCGGUAUGCCAGAGAAAAGGAGACUGCGCUGCUUGCUGCUAAAGAGACACAUCAACAGCGUGAAAGACAGCUUGAGGAUACUAUCCGUGAAUAUCAAGAUAAAUUGGACACUGUUGAAGUAGAGUACAGACAGUUAGAAUGGGAAAACAAAGAUAUCAUGAAAGAUAAAGACAUGAAAGUACAGAGACUUCAGAAGAAGCUUGCAGAAAGUGAAGAAAGACUGUCUUCACAAGCAGCUGAGUUCUCUCGUUCAACAGUAUCCAAGGAUCUGGAGCUGGAGGCACUCAGACAACAAGAAGAGAAACUACGCAUGGAUGUCAUUCAGAGAACAGAAGAUGUGGAGAGAUACAAGAAGGAUCUAUCAAUGGCAUCGGAAAGGGAGUCUAGCCUGGAGCGAGCCAAAACACAGGUUGAACUCGACUGGCAACGAAGAUGUGAAGACGCUGAAAGAGCAGCUUAUGAGAAACAAGAAGGAUUGAUUAGAAAUCUAACCCGUGCUAAAGAUGAGGCUGUCGCUGCUGUCAAAGAAAAGGACCGGGAACUGAAUCAANGUGAAAACCUUAUAAGGAUAUUAACAGAGACUAGAGACCAGGCUCUCGCUACUCUACAGAGACACGGCCUAUCUGUACCUAUGCAUUUACCUGAUAAAGAAAUCCCUGGGGAUGAGGUUUUAGGGAGGGAACAUCUAACAAACGAGGACGAUGUCGAAGAAUUACAAAGACAGAAUCAAAACCUGAGGGACGUUAUUCGACAGAUGCGCCAAGAUAUGGAGGACCUUAAUAACCAGUUAGCAAGUAGGCCCCCUUCGGUUAUGGUAACUACCUUAGAUGAGGACCAAGAACAAAGCAGUGUACCGUUAACUUCCGAAUAUGUCAAAUCACUGGAAAAAGAGGUUAUUGAGUUAAAAUCAAAGAACAGAUCGCUAAGCAAACGACUAGAGGAUUUGACGCUGAGCCAUAAGCCUCCCCAGGGAACUGGGCACAGUAACAAACAGGCCAGGGUACUAGGAAAAAUUGACGAUCCUUUUGUACAAAGUCACGUGAAGGAACUAAACGAUACUAUUGGAGUGCUACGUCAGGACAAGUUGCAUCUCACUGCGCAAGUGCGAAAACACGAAGCGACCACUGCGCACCUACAAGGACUGGUCGCUUCAACACAAGACCAGUUGCGUCAAAAACAAGUAGCCCUUGAUCAAGCGCAGUAUGAUCUGACGACUCUGACUCGACGAACUGCAGAAGAAUCCAAUGCGCAGAGACAGCGCAUGUUAGAACUAGAACUACAGCUGGCCCAAGUACGGCGGGAGGCAGAUGAAUAUUUUAAGAGUGGCCUUGAAAGAAACUUGGAAGCAACGACUUUGGGAAACCAGUUGUCAGUCUUAAAGCUCGAGCUGGCAUCCCAAGGGAAAUCUACCGCUACCUUUAACCCACAAACUGCUGUUGUUAAUGAGUUACAGGAUGAGAUUCAGAGAUUGCGCAAGCAGCCUGGUGUCUCUCCCAGAUCUCACGCUGACCCAAGCGUAGCCAGGCUACAACAGAAGCUGAAGACUGCUGCCCAGCGCAUCACACAGCUGGUGCGAGAGAAAGAACAGCUCAUUCAGAUGGGGAACAAGUUACGCGCAGAACUGUCACGUGUGAGAGGUGAAGAUAUGAAAGGUUCAUCUUUUAUGCGUCACGCCGCUGACCACCACAGGCCUCGUGCUCCAUCUACACCCAGUCCCGUCAAACUCACACCAGAUGAAAUGGCAGACGAUCUGCAGACCAAACUAAGUGCAAUGGAAAAACUACAAUACGCACUGACUACACACGAGCUACAAGUAGCACAGCGCAUGGCAGAACAACAGAAGAUUGCCGCUGGACAGGUACAGGUGACUGUGAGGUCGAGCUCCAGUGACACGUCACCUUCAGAUUCUAAUGAGGCCAGAAUACAAGCUAACAAACCAGAAACUAAAGAACCGCGUCGUCACGCAAGUCUUAAACCAGUGUCACGCAAACAACCUUCGCCUGAGCCAGUGAUACAUAGUCAGCAGCGAUCAUCAUCUCCUUACCAGGAGCACGCACUUUUUACUUCGUCUUCAGAAGGUCAAGCCUCGCUGCAAGAGAUUUGGAAACUGCUUGACGAAGAAGAAAGUUUUCGAAGUUUGAGCCCUGUGAAAGAACGACCCAGUUCCCAGACUCCUGAUCAUAUACCUGCCAGGGAGGGGUCUGGAGAGAGUGAUGGGUUUACAGUCAAAGGCAAGAAAGCUGUGCCUGAGAAAAAAGGACAAAAAGAAAAACCAAGAUUGUCGCAGAAAGCACAGGGUAAAAUGAGAGUGAUAGCACAGAAACCACUGGUAAGGAAUUAUAAUGUACAGGAUGAUAAACAAUGGAAAAGAACGGGUAGAUAGAUAGCACUGGACAUCAUGAUGAUGGUAAUGAUGGUGCUGAUGAUGAUGCUGAUGAUUAUUAUAUACAGGGGAAAAGAACGGGUAGAUAGAUAGCACUGGACAUGAUGAUGGUGGUGACAAUAAUGAUUAUUAUGGUGAUGACACGACGACGAUGAUAAUAAUGGUGGUGAUAACGAUGAUGGUAAUGUGGAUAAUGAUGGAGAUGAUGAUCAUCACUUCUUUCGUGGCAUCAUUUUUUGAUGGAAUUCUCGUUGAAAUAUGGAUUAAUGGACAGAAAGAACAUUCACAAUACAGAUACAGAUACAGACGAGAAACACGUUGAUAAGGCUUGCCUUAUAUUUAUUUUAACAACGAUCAGUUAAUCAUAUCUUAUUGUGUAAUCGAUAUAUUUUAUAUACAUUAUAUAUUUAGUUUCAAUCAA